AAGAGGGGAAGGAGAAGGAGUAAGAGGAGAAAGUUAGAUGGUGAGGUAAAUACUGGUGGGUGCCAUGGAGGUUAGUGGGUGACAGGUGUCUGUCAUGCAUUACGAUGAUAUUGAUGAUCAUCGAUAUAUGUGUGAUAUCAGUGUUGGUGAUGAUGAUGGCAAAAUUUAGAAGAGGAGAAGGAAAGAGGAAGAGAAAUAAGAAGAGGAGAAGGAAAGAUGAAGACAAAUAGAAGGAGAAUGAAACCUCAAAAGAUGAAAAUAAUUUGGAGUGAUGAUAAUGGCACAGCGCCUAGUCAACAAUGAGAACAAAAAAAAACGUAAAUGAAAAAGAAAAUGAAGACGAGGAGGAAAAAGGAGAUUCAAUUUUCCAUUUUGUCAAUGAAUAUCACUGAUAAACAUUUAUCCAUAUAUUUAUGGCUGUUGGUACUUACAC
RNAcentral lists this long non-coding RNA (433 nucleotides) under Vigna radiata. RNAcentral describes it as "long non-coding RNA (VRAD_LNC010557)". The record is from RNAcentral. Lineage: Eukaryota; Viridiplantae; Streptophyta; Magnoliopsida; Fabales; Fabaceae.